GUGAAAUUGGUGCCAGUGUGAGGUGUGAUAUGAAGUAUGCGAGCGUUAUCCGUAUUUAUUGUGUUUAAAGGGUUCGUAUGCGGCCUGUAAAGUCAGUGGGGAAUUCCUAUCGCUUAACGAUAGACGUGCCAUUGAUACUGUAGGGCUUGAGUAUAGAUGCCGUUGGCGGAAUGUGUCAGUUAGCGGUGAAAUGCAUAGAUAUGACACAGAACACCGAUUGCGAAGGCAGCUGACGAAACUAUAACUGACGCUGAUGCACGAAAGCGUGGGGAUCAAACAGGAUUAGAUACCCGAGUAGUC
Molecule: ribosomal RNA, 300 nt
Filed under: uncultured Hydrogenivirga sp.
Lineage: Bacteria; Pseudomonadati; Aquificota; Aquificia; Aquificales; Aquificaceae
Description: bacterial SSU rRNA
Rfam family: Bacterial small subunit ribosomal RNA
Source: RNAcentral